GACGAACGCUGGCGGCGCGCUUAACACAUGCAAGUCGAACGGAAAGGCCUGCUUUCCCUUGUGGAUUGCGGGUACUCGAGUGGCGAACGGGUGAGUAACACGUGAGUGAUCUGCCCCCAACUUGGGUAUAAGCCUGGGAAACUGGGUCUAAUUCCCGAUAGGACUGCAGGGUGGUGCCUGUGGUGGAAAACGAUUUUCUAGUGGUUGGGGAUGAGCUCGCGGCCUAUCAGCUUGUUGGUGGGGUAAUGGCCUACCAAGGCGGCGACGGGUAGCCGGCCUGAGAGGGUGGACGGCCACAUUGGGACUGAGAUACGGCCCAGACUCCUACGGGAGGCAGCAGUGGGGAAUAUGGCACAAUGGGCGGAAGCCUGAUGCAGCGACGCCGCGUGGGGGAUGACGGCCUUCGGGUUGUAAACUCCUUUCGACCGCGAGGAAGCCACCUGGUUGGAAGGGUGGUGACGGUAGUGGGAGAAGAAGCACCGGCUAACUACGUG
RNAcentral lists this ribosomal RNA (494 nucleotides) under uncultured bacterium. RNAcentral describes it as "partial 16S ribosomal RNA". It matches the Rfam family "Bacterial small subunit ribosomal RNA", at positions 28 to 507 of the family's 1533-position model. The record is from RNAcentral.